Molecule: non-coding RNA, 3768 nt
Organism: Manis javanica (Malayan pangolin)
Lineage: Eukaryota; Metazoa; Chordata; Mammalia; Pholidota; Manidae
Source: RefSeq, a predicted model, not a curated record
GGUGCGGGGGAAGAGCCCCGCCUCAACCUUGCGUCACGUUCCGACGCCUCAGGCCUCGACUUGAGUCACGGGGUAAAAACAUGUCUUCCCCCAGCUGGUUGCUGCCAUCUUUGAGGCUCUAGGAGGAGCAGGACGGCGCCAUGUCGAACCCACAAACCCGUAUCAGCCAUUCUCCGUUCCCCCAGAAUAACAAAUGCCAGGGGACAGAGAAUGUGGUAGACUGGCCCUUCCUGCGUCCUUCUCCAGAAGGGGCUGAUCAGUCAACCGAGUCGUCCUACUGUGUGCUCAGAGCCCUUCAGGAUCAGCAAAGCUUGCUCUAGGAACAGGCUUUCCCUCGCAGAAAUCUCAGCACUGGGAGACAAGACAGUCGUUGACAAACUCACAGUGGGAUGAAGAAGGGCGCCCAUAUUUACCGAGCACCUAUUGUGCACCUCUGCUGUAUAUACCUUUGGAACAUCUCCAUUCGUCCUUACUUCAAUCACUUAAGGAAAGAUUAUUUUCACAAUUUUGCAAAUAGGGAACUGAGAGCAGUAAAGGUCAGUUGACCUAGCCCCAGCCUUCAAAUGAUAUCCAGAAUGUGACUUCUUACUAUGUUUGCCACUACCACCUGGUCUGAACCUCCAUCAUUUCUCAUCUGGAAUAUUUCAACCCUGGUGUCCUGUUCCCACCUCAUCCCAUCUGUUGUCAACACGGCAACAAGUAAUUCUAUAAAAAUGUCAAACCAUGUCAUUCUCCUGCUCAAAGUAUACUAUACUGUACUUCCCAAAGGUCAGAGUAAAAAUUAAGGCUUUACAAACAGAAGGUCCUUCCUCAUCUGACACCCAGAUACCUCUUUGACCUUAUGUCCUCCUAAUGUCCCAUCUGAUCAGUCUGCUCAAACUAUACAAGUUUUAAGAAAAGUGAAGGUGCACAUCUAAUUUAGUCCUUUGCACCUGUAUUUCUUUCUAUCUGGAAAGCUCUUCUCUCAGUGGCCUGUAUGGCCACUACCUCACUUUUCCCUGGUUUUGACUUAAAUGUGAUCUUUUCAGCAAGAAUGGCAUUCCCUAUUAAAACUGAAGUUCCCCUUCCUAUCAAUACUACACCCAACACUCACUUGCUGUCUCUCCUGUUUUUUCCUCUUUAUAUUGUUUAUUUGCUUAUUGUCCAUCUUCUCUGUUAGAAAGACAGCAGAGCAAGGAUUUUUGUCUGUUUCAUGCAUUGCUAUAUCCCGGAUCCCUGGAACAGUGUUGGGGCAUGCCAUUCAAAAUUGCCAGGUUUGAAGAUAAAGUUGCAACUAAGGACACAAGAAAAGUUAAGAGCACAAAAAUAGCAAGACACCUGUGAGGUCCCAGCCUUCUAAGACAAUGACUGAGAAGGCUACUCAGAUGCAAACAUAAGCUAUUUCUUAUGGAAAAGAAAGAAGACUCAGAAGAAACCUGUGGGCCAAGAGGGUGGUGUUGAGAUGCAGAGAACCCUUCCCAGGCAGCAGGAUUGGACCCUGAUAAAACAACUGGCAACAUGUGCCUAACUGGAUUUUAGAAUCACUAUGACCCAGUGGUAGCUAUGUCACUCCUGUUUCACCCUUUUUCAACAGAAAUAUCUACUUUGGUUAUCUUAUGCUUGUCAACUCUAUUGGGGUUGUGCAGAGCAGAAAACAUGUCUGUAGCUCACAGACCUUUCAGACCAAGAAGAACAGUACUCAAGAAGCUGUUCUUGAAGAAUCAUAGCUGAGGCUCCUCAUCUUUGCCUGGAACCAAUUUACAUGACAAGAUCCAUUAUGAGCAAUCAGGUGUUGAGAUGAGACGUUUAAGGUCCUUUGGAGGAGGUGAGUAUAUUUUGCACAUGGGAGAAAUAGAAAUAAUUUGUAUUCAGAAGGUGGACUAUGGUCGAUUCAGGAUAGUGGUAAAUUAUUUGCUCCUCCUUCCUUUGAGAUGUGGACUCUACUUCCAGUCCUUUUGAAUCUGGGUUGGUCUUACUGUCUUGUUUGACCAGUAGAAUGUAGUGGAAGUGAUACCUCGUGACUCCACUGCUAGGUCAUAAAAAGCCUUAGAACUUUCAUCUGGACUCUUUGAAGUACUCAGGCAGCAGGAGCUCCUCUGGAAAACCAGCCUCAUACCGUGAGAAGCCCAACCUGCAUAGGUAUUAUCAACAGCCCCAGGUAGGCCUGCAGUAUGCAGCCAGAGACGCUUUAAGCAAAAUGUGUGUCUCUGUGUGAGAUGUGUGGUCCUUCACUGGUCAGCCACACUGCAGCACCUUUCCUGGCCAGCACCCUCUCUUCUGUUCUUACAGAACGAGUUUCCUAGAACCUGCUAGGCUCCUGCCUUACCCCUGUGACACCGCUUACUUGAUGUCUGCUUACUCAUCUGCUUCUGAUGUAGAAGCUCCUCAAGGACGAGCACCUGCUCUGAUCUACCUCGAUGUCCCAGCAUCCCAGCACCCCUUUUGACACUUGACAAAUCUCACCAGAUGGCUAAACAAUUCAAAACAGAGUGAACUGUUGAAUUAUUCUGACAUGGCUUCGCAUGACUGAUGUCUUUUUGGGUUUGCCAUUUAAACAUGGCCAGUUCUGCUCAAGGGUUCCUCCCUUGGCAGUUUUAUUCACCCAGGACUCACUGGCUGGCUGUCCCUCUGUCCCGCCCUAGUCUUCCUCUCUUAGUACUUCCCCAGCCUGAGCCCCUGUGCCUUUGAGCAACUCCACUUGAGCUCUCUGGGCCUCAAUUUCCUCAUUCUCAGAUGGUAUGAGCAACCCCAACUCCCUGAAUUAUUGUGGGAAUCAGAUGUGAAAGUGAUUUACAAAGGGCCUCAUCACGCAUAGGGGAAUGACUGAAGUUACAUGUCAGUUGCUGGGUGAAGUAAAUCUCAGGGGUGGCUUCAGGUACUUUUCUGUUAGAUGUGUAAAGGAAACAAAGGUUGGUUCAUUCAUUCAUUCAAAAGUAAUCCAUCUUUAGCUGCCAGGACAACCCUAGGGACACAGAGAUGACCCAGCCACAGUCCCUGUGCUCCAGGAGGACCCAGCUGCGUACGUGUGUGGCUGGGGGAGCACCCACAAACAGACAGCCACACCUUCAACUAGAUUCUCUUCCUCUUUGCACAACUCUAGCCACAGGCUGCUUUCCAGAACCUUCCAGCACACAAGGCUGCAUUGUGGCCCUCACCCACAGCAAUCCUUUCAGGGCCAGGCCCUUGGCCAGUUCUAGGGCCAAUAACUCUCAAGUCUGGGUCUUUCCUGGGGUGGAAGGAAGCAAAUCUGUUGGAAGAAACAUUUUUUCCCAAUGGAAAUAGAACAAGAAAUGUCUAGAAUUGCUGGGGGACUCAUUGCCUGCCUCAGAGUAAAGCUAUGUAAAAACAGGAAAACAGAGAUGGCGAGGGCUACAUCUUAGUGAUAGAAUUUGGGACACUUCUAUCAAGUGAUAUCUGAAUGCACACACUCUCCCCUGACACCCCCACACCCCAUCCCGCCCCAGCCUUCAUCACAUGGUUAAUGGAAAGCCAGCCUCACCCAGGGGCCAGGCUCCGCAGCUUCAGGGCCCGGGUCCUACCUGACUGGGCCGAGGCUCUGACUCUCCUAGAGGCAGCCCAGAAGAGUCAGGGGGUACAGCCCAGGACCAAGGGGGGGUGUGAGCAUCCCCCUGGGCAAACUCUGACCUGUGGGACUUGGGAUUUGGGGAGGAGCCGAGAGGUAAAGUCUCUGCUUUCACCUUUCCCCUGUGAACUCCUCCAUAUGGCCUCCCUGGAGACAUCUUGUGGGACUAAAGUCAGAAUCAGCAAAUAAAAAUACUCAUAUUAAAA